RNAcentral lists this ribosomal RNA (468 nucleotides) under uncultured bacterium. RNAcentral's name for it is "partial 16S ribosomal RNA". It matches the Rfam family "Bacterial small subunit ribosomal RNA", at positions 28 to 507 of the family's 1533-position model. The record is from RNAcentral.
GAUGAACGCUGGCGGCGUGCCUAACACAUGCAAGUCGAACGGAAAGGCCCUGCUAUUGUGCGGUUCCCGAUUGCCGAACGCGUGAGUAACACGUGUGUAUCCUGCCCUUGUCUUUCGGAUAACUUCAGGAAACGGGGGCUAAUACCGGAUAGCAUCCCCUGCUGCAUGGUGGGGGUGGGAAAGUCUCGGCGGGUGGGGAUGGAUGCGCGGAUUAUCAGCUUGUUGGUGGGGUAGUGGCUUACCCAGGCUUUGACGGGUCGCCGGCCUGAGAGGGUGACCGGCGACAUUGGGACUGAGAGACGGCCCAGACUCCUACGGGAGGCAGCAGUGGGGAAUAUUGCACAAUGGGCGGAAGCCUGAUGCAGCAACGCCGCGUGCGGGAUGACGGCCUUCGGGUUGUAAACCGCUUUCGCCUGUGACGAAGCGUGAGUGACGGUAAUGGGUAAAGAAGCACCGGCUAACUACGUG